Molecule: ribosomal RNA, 450 nt
Filed under: uncultured bacterium
Lineage: Bacteria
Description: partial 16S ribosomal RNA
Rfam family: Bacterial small subunit ribosomal RNA
Source: RNAcentral
CCUACGGGGGGCUGCAGUGGGGAAUUUUGCGCAAUGGGCGAAAGCCUGACGCAGCAACGCCGCGUGAGUGAUGAAGGCUUUCGGGUCGUAAAGCUCUGUCAGGGGGAAAGAAGUGUAUUGUGGUUAAUACCCAUGAUACUUGACGGUACCCCCAAAGGAAGCACCGGCUAACUCCGUGCCAGCAGCCGCGGUAAUACGGGGGGUGCGAGCGUUGUUCGGAAUUAUGGGGCGUAAUGCGCGUGUAGGAUGUGAAAGCCCCGGGCUCAACCUGGGAAGUGCAUUGGAUACUGGCAGACUUGAAUACGGGAGAGGGUAGUGGAAUUCCUGGUGUAGGAGUGAAAUCCGUAGAUAUCAGGAGGAACACCGGUGGCGAAGGCGGCUGCCUGGACCGAUAUUGACGCUGAGACGCGAAAGCGUGGGUAGCAAACAGGAUUAGAUACCCCAGUAGUC